UNUGACUUGAGUGCAGAAGGGGAGAGUGGAAUUCCAUGUGUAGCGGUGAAAUGCGUAGAUAUAUGGAGGAACNCCAGUGGUGAAAGCGGCUCUCUGGUCUGUCACCGACGCUGAGGCUCGAAAGCGUGGGUAGCGAACAGGAUUAGAUACCCUGGUAGUCCACGCCGUAAACGAUGAGUGCUAGGUGUUAGGCCCUUUCCGGGGCUUAGUGCCGGAGCUAACGCAAUAAGCACUCCGCCUGGGGAGUACGACCGCAAGGUUGAAACUCAAAGGAAUUGACGGGGGCCCGCACAAGCGGUGGAGCAUGUGGUUUAAUUCGAAGCAACGCGAAGAACCUUACCAGGUCUUGACAUCCCGAUGCUAUUCUUAGAGAUAGGAAGUUACUUCGGUACAUCGGAGACAGGUGGUGCAUGGUUGUCGUCAGCUCGUGUCGUGAGAUGUUGGGUUAAGUCCCGCAACGAGCGCAACCCUUAUUGUUAGUUGCCAUCAUUAAGUUGGGCACUCUAGCGAGACUGCCGGUAAUAAACCGGAGGAAGGUGGGGAUGACGUCAAAUCAUCAUGCCCCUUAUGACCUGGGCUACACACGUGCUACAAUGGUCGGUACAACGAGUUGCGAGCCGGUGACGGCAAGCUAAUCUCUGAAAGCCGAUCUCAGUUCGGAUUGGAGGCUGCAACUCGCCUCCAUGAAGUCGGAAUCGCUAGUAAUCGCGGAUCAGCACGCCGCGGUGAAUACGUUCCCGGGCCUUGUACACACCGCCCGUCACACCACGAGAGUUUGUAACACCCGAAGUCGGUGAGGUANCCUUUUAGGG
RNAcentral lists this ribosomal RNA (812 nucleotides) under uncultured bacterium. RNAcentral's name for it is "bacterial SSU rRNA". It matches the Rfam family "Bacterial small subunit ribosomal RNA", at positions 636 to 1447 of the family's 1533-position model. The record is from RNAcentral.